UACGUAGGGAGCAAGCGUUGUCCGGAAUCAUUGGGCGUAAAGCGCGCGUAGGUGGCCCCAUAAGUCCGCUGUGAAAGUCAAAGGCUCAACCUUUGAAAGCCGGUGGAUACUGUGGGACUAGAGUACGGAAGAGGCGAGUGGAAUUCCUGGUGUAGCGGCGGGAUGCGCAGAUAUCAGGAGGAACACCAAUAGCGAAGGCAGCUCGCUGGGACGUUACUGACACUGAGGCGCGAAAGCGUGGGGAGCGAACAGG
Molecule: ribosomal RNA, 253 nt
Filed under: uncultured bacterium
Lineage: Bacteria
Description: partial 16S ribosomal RNA
Rfam family: Bacterial small subunit ribosomal RNA
Source: RNAcentral